AGAGCGAACGCUGGCGGCAGGCCUAACACAUGCAAGUCGAGCGCCCAGUAAUGGGAGCGGCAGACGGGAUAGUAACACGUGGGAACGUACCUUUCAGUUCGGAACAACCCAGGGAAACUUGGGCUAAUACCGAAUACGCCCGUAAGGGGAAAGAUUUAUCGCUGAAAGAUCGGCCCGCGUCUGAUUAGCUAGUUGGUGGGGUAAUGGCCCACCAAGGCGACGAUCAGUAGCUGGUCUGAGAGGAUGAUCAGCAUCACUGGGACUGAGACACGGCCCAGACUCCUACGGGAGGCAGCAGUGGGGAAUAUUGGACAAUGGGCGCAAGCCUGAUCCAGCCAUGCCGCGUGAGUGAUGAAGGCCCUAGGGUUGUAAAGCUCUUUUGUGCGGGAAGAUAAUGACGGUACCGCAAGAAUAAGCCCGGCUAACUUCGUGCCAGCAGCCGC
RNAcentral lists this ribosomal RNA (443 nucleotides) under uncultured bacterium. Its description in RNAcentral is "SSU rRNA". It matches the Rfam family "Bacterial small subunit ribosomal RNA", at positions 26 to 518 of the family's 1533-position model. The record is from RNAcentral.